Molecule: long non-coding RNA, 786 nt
Filed under: Mus pahari (shrew mouse)
Lineage: Eukaryota; Metazoa; Chordata; Mammalia; Rodentia; Muridae
Description: predicted gene 45058 (MGP_PahariEiJ_G0002822.1)
Source: RNAcentral
CAAAUCCAACCCCCCCCCCCCCGCAAGGGAUCUUUAUAGAGGAACCGAGAAGUCAAAGUGUCAUCAACAUAGUGUCAUCAACAGGCCCUCACAAUCCAAAAGAAGCCACCAAGACUCACACGGUUCAUGGAGAAGGGUUCUCACAGUACCAGGAAUGUCUGAGACACAUAGUCUGGGCUGCCAGCAUUUCCCAGUGUUUCAGGAUCCUGAAGGCACAGAGAACGUCGAGAUGGUGGGACCUCUAGAGGGCUGGGUGAGCAGAACAGAGGGGACUAGGGUCAGAAGCAGGAGGGUGUGGGCUGUGGUGACAGGUACCUCACAGGGCCUUCACUUAUCGCUUGGCUCUGCGACCCGCUGAGUUUCGCCCACCACGUCGGUAGAGAGUCUGCUGUCUGCUGUUGAGUGGACAAUACUUGAGUGUAUGAGCCUGGUCGCCGGUGGCUCCGCAAACAGGACACACAUAGUGCCUCAGGAUGGGACACACAACCACCCCUUCAGGUGUCUUCAGCUGGUGUGAGGUGUAGACGUGACGAGACUCUCCAUUGUGCUUGCAGAAGUUGCAUAUGGUAGGCAGACGUCCAGGGUAGACCUCCAGGCCCUGCUCACUCUCCUCCUGGGGCCUGGAGUUGGGCUCCUCUGCUACCUCACCCUCCUGUCUUUGCUUCCGGCUCUGAAUUAUAUCCAUCACCACCUGGCUCAGGUUAAAGUAGUCUCUCCACAUGUCAAAGGGUGGUAGGUCCAUGGCACGUAAAUGUGGCAGUGGGCACUGGAGAGGGACUGGGGGGG